AUUGAACGCUGGCGGCAUGCCUUACACAUGCAAGUCGAACGGCAGCACGGGAGCAAUCCUGGUGGCGAGUGGCGAACGGGUGAGUAAAGUAUCGGAACGUGCCCAGUCGUGGGGGAUAACGUAGCGAAAGUUACGCUAAUACCGCAUACGAUCUAAGGAUGAAAGCGGGGGAUCGCAAGACCUCGCGCGAUUGGAGCGGCCGAUAUCAGAUUAGGUAGUUGGUGGGGUAAAGGCUCACCAAGCCAACGAUCUGUAGCUGGUCUGAGAGGACGACCAGCCACACUGGAACUGAGACACGGUCCAGACUCCUACGGGAGGCAGCAGUGGGGAAUUUUGGACAAUGGACGCAAGUCUGAUCCAGCCAUUCCGCGUGCAGGAUGAAGGCCCUCGGGUUGUAAACUGGCUUUUGUACGGAACGAAAAGGUUUCCAUUAAUACUGGAGCGUCAUGACGGUACCGUAAGAAUAAGCACCGGCUAACUACGUGCCAG
Molecule: ribosomal RNA, 489 nt
Filed under: uncultured bacterium
Lineage: Bacteria
Description: bacterial SSU rRNA
Rfam family: Bacterial small subunit ribosomal RNA
Source: RNAcentral